ACGGAAGGCAGCAGUGGGGAAUAUUGCACAAUGGGGGAAACCCUGAUGCAGCAACGCCGCGUGAGUGAUGACGGUCUUCGGAUUGUAAAGCUCUGUCUUCAGGGACGAUAAUGACGGUACCUGAGGAGGAAGCCACGGCUAACUACGUGCCAGCAGCCGCGGUAAUACGUAGGUGGCAAGCGUUGUCCGGAUUUACUGGGCGUAAAGGGAGCGUAGGCGGAUUUUUAAGUGGGAUGUGAAAUACCCGGGCUUAACCUGGGUGCUGCAUUCCAAACUGGAAGUCUAGAGUACAGGAGGGGAAAGCGGAAUUCCUAGUGUAGCGGUGAAAUGCGUAGAGAUUAGGAAGAACACCAGUGGCGAAGGCGGCUUACUGGGCUUUAACUGACGCUGAGGCUCGAAAGCGUGGGGAGCAAACAGGAUUAGAUACCCUGGUA
RNAcentral lists this ribosomal RNA (434 nucleotides) under uncultured Clostridium sp. RNAcentral's name for it is "partial 16S ribosomal RNA". It matches the Rfam family "Bacterial small subunit ribosomal RNA", at positions 341 to 792 of the family's 1533-position model. Lineage: Bacteria; Bacillati; Bacillota; Clostridia; Eubacteriales; Clostridiaceae. The record is from RNAcentral.